RNAcentral lists this ribosomal RNA (536 nucleotides) under uncultured bacterium. RNAcentral's name for it is "bacterial SSU rRNA". It matches the Rfam family "Bacterial small subunit ribosomal RNA", at positions 338 to 864 of the family's 1533-position model. The record is from RNAcentral.
CCUACGGGAGGCAGCAGUGGGGAAUUUUGCGCAAUGGGGGAAACCCUGACGCAGCAACGCCGCGUGAGUGAUGAAGGCCUUCGGGUCGUAAAGCUCUGUCAGAGGGGAAGAAAUGCAGGGGUGCUAAUAUCAUCUUUGCUUGACGGUACCCUCAAAGGAAGCACCGGCUAACUCCGUGCCAGCAGCCGCGGUAAUACGGAGGGUGCGAGCGUUGUUCGGAAUUAUUGGGCGUAAAGCGCGUGUAGGCGGUUUGGUAAGUCUGAUGUGAAAGCCCCGGGCUCAACCUGGGAAGUGCAUUGGAAACUGUCAGACUUGAAUACGGGAGAGGGUAGUGGAAUUCCUAGUGUAGGAGUGAAAUCCGUAGAUAUUAGGAGGAACACCGGUGGCGAAGGCGGCUACCUGGACCGAUAUUGACGCUGAGACGCGAAAGCGUGGGGAGCAAACAGGAUUAGAUACCCUGGUAGUCCACGCCGUAAACGAUGAGUACUAGGUGUUGCGGGUAUUGACCCCUGCAGUGCCGCAGCUAACGCAUUAAG